RNAcentral lists this long non-coding RNA (2640 nucleotides) under Sus scrofa (pig). RNAcentral's name for it is "lncRNA (ENSSSCG00000057787.1)". The record is from RNAcentral. Lineage: Eukaryota; Metazoa; Chordata; Mammalia; Artiodactyla; Suidae.
GGGCAGACAAACAUGAGCCAGUGUGAACCAGAGGAAGACCUGAGACUUUGGAUGAAUCAGAAUCAGCCAAAAAAGUUCAUCUGGCAACUCCUGCGAACUGACCGUCAUCCAGAGGAACAGCUGUGAUGUCCACAGGGCACCCAGGCAUUCUGAAGAGCCACUGGCAUUGAGAAAGGGGCAGUGACAUUUCCCCCAGCCUGUCCUUCCUUCCCGGCUCCUGGGGGAGAGUGACAAAGCCAGAGGAUAAUGAGAUGACCGGAUCAACUUGUAUGGAGAAAAAGUGAAACUUCCCCAAAGAUGGGGAAGCUGAGGCACGGAGAGGCAGCUGGCCCAAGGUUACACAGGUUGCAAGUGGCAGCAGAACCAAGAUUUACACCGUGAGCAUCAGUGGGCUUAUCCUUAGCACCUCACUUGGGGAGGACACUGCAAUUAAUGUGAUUUUUCAAAUGGAAUCUUGAAAACCUUCAUGAAACACUGAAUUGGCAUGAUCCCUGACAUGGGUGGAUAAGUCAGGCAUCAGAACACUUAGCAGUCAUCUUUCGCUCUGUAACAAACCAUCCCCAAACUUCAAGCAGACUAAGAUGCAUGGGGAUCCAGAAGACCCAGCUUUGUCAGUGCGAAGCCGUCUCAGCGGAAACAGAAAUAUGACUCAGGAGCUUGUCCUUCUGGGCAUUCAGAUGCUUGUGUUCCCCCACUUCCUCCCUGAUACCUCCUUUCCGCCCCUUCUUCCUGACUCUCUUCUGUGGCUUCAUCACUGCCUGCUUCCAGAUAUUUUCUCUGUUCAGGCAGCCCUGCAAGCACCUGGCAGGGAUGACAAAUGAGCCUGCCUUCCUGGGCGACGUGACUGUCCAGAAACACAGCCUGGAGCAUGCACAAUGCAGCAGCUUCCACGCACAGCGCAAAUGCCGGAAUGCGCUGCAGGGUUGGAGAGAGGUCACUGUUGCAGAAACCCAACGCUGUUUGAGUCUGGCAUUCGAGGCUCUAGCCAGCUUUGCUUAAUUAGAGGAAUAAGCAAAUAGGUACCCCGGAGUAGCUUCUGGAUUGUCUCAACAGACUGAAAUGUGUAAGUGAAAAGGCUGCAUGCAAUUAAACACAAUUCACCAUGAUCUGGCUGUCUGGUUUAGUUCACUCAUAUUAUAUAUAAAGAAUCAAAGAACCAUAAAGAAAAGCAGAAGCAUCAGCUGCCAUUAUAAAUCUGAUAAAUGUCUUUGAUCAAGGAAAGCUUGCUUACCAAACAGGCUCUGAGCUCCAGAUUACCUAUAGAUUUAUUUACAAGGAGAAAGGAGCUCUCAGUAGUCCUCAUUACUAUCUUGCUCGAUAAAAAGAUUAACCAAUCAAUGACAAGUGCUGGUUUCACAUGGUAUAGUGCAGAUAAAAUAGACGAAAGAGACCUUGCCCUUGCAGAGCUGACACGGUAGCAGAUCACAUAGGAACGAAGAGAGCUGCCAGAUACAGUACCAGGAACAAUAAUAAUAUAAAUACAAUACAAUAUUCAACCUCAACUGGGUCCUAGGGCUGUACUGGGCACUGUGCAUAUAGCAUUGAGUCUAAUCUUUAAAACUGCUGAUGAGCAGCUAUUACCAUGUCAAACGGCCAAGGGAGAAAAACAGGUCUCCAAAAGGAUCUACAACUAUAUAAGGUCACAAAGCCAGAAAAGUUUGGGUCUUGGGCUCAAACUCAGGCCUGAGUUUGCUCCACUUCUUCCACAGUACCUGGUUGGAGAAGGCAAUGCAAAUAUUUCAGUGACACUCAGACACUGAUUGAAGGCCAGCCUGGACCCCGCAUGGGUGCGGGUUUGAACAGAGAGCCAGUCUUAAAGGAGCUCGCAACCUGGUGAGAUAGACAGUCAGAGAUGCAAUCCUGUGCAAUCAGUGCAACCCCAAGCCUGCGGUUAUGGAAGACACUGGGGCAGAAAUGAAGCCCAGACCAGAGUUUGUUUUUCCUUCUGAUAUAUUUCCUUUCAGAGAAAGCCUUGGGAUUGUCACUGUGUUACAAAUGUAUUAAACUAGACUAACCCCCUAGUUCUUGCUACCAUUGGAAUCAAGAGGAAGAAGCAAAAUAAACUAACAUCUGCCAUUGUGACUAUUUUUAAGAUACCUGCUGGCUCUAAAUUUAUUCUAUUUUAAAAAGAACUUUAAUGAUUCUUAUCUCACUUGAUUCUUUUACUAUCUCUGCUGAGUUGUCAACAUUUUGCAAACAACACAACAGAGGUUAAACUUCUCAAGGUAACCAUAUUGGUUUGUUAGGGCUGCCUUAAUAAAAUGCCACCGACUGGGUGACUUAAAUAACAGAAAUUUAUUUUCUCACAGUUCUAGAGGCUAGAAGUCCAAGAUCAAGGUGUUGGCAGGUUUGGGUUCUCCUGAGGCCUCUCUCCUUGGCUUGCAGAUAGUGUCUUCUGUAUGUAUAGGACCAAACACAGUACACAUAGAAGCUGCUACUACCACGUUUUCUGGAAUCCACUGGGGAUCUUGGAAAGUGUGCCCCAUGGAUAAGGGGAGACCACUGUACCUCUUGGAGGGAGCAGAUAUCUAAUUAAUGUCCUUAAUUACUAAUUACAUUAAGCCCACCCAGGAUUUGAUUGUUCUGGUAACCUGAUUGAAUAAGUCUUCAUAAAACAAAUAAAAUUACAGUCAGUAGCUC